This 530-nucleotide ribosomal RNA is filed under the name uncultured bacterium. RNAcentral's name for it is "bacterial SSU rRNA". It matches the Rfam family "Bacterial small subunit ribosomal RNA", at positions 777 to 1304 of the family's 1533-position model. The record is from RNAcentral.
AAUAGAUACCCGGGUAGUCCACGCCGUAAACGAUGAGUGCUAAGUGUUAGAGGGUUUCCGCCCUUUAGUGCUGCAGCUAACGCAUUAAGCACUCCGCCUGGGGAGUACGGUCGCAAGACUGAAACUCAAAGGAAUUGACGGGGGCCCGCACAAGCGGUGGAGCAUGUGGUUUAAUUCGAAGCAACGCGAAGAACCUUACCAGGUCUUGACAUCCCACUGACCGGUAUAGAGAUAUACCUUUCCCUUCGGGGACAGUGGUGACAGGUGGUGCAUGGUUGUCGUCAGCUCGUGUCGUGAGAUGUUGGGUUAAGUCCCGCAACGAGCGCAACCCUUGAUCUUAGUUGCCAGCAUUUAGUUGGGCACUCUAAGGUGACUGCCGGUGACAAACCGGAGGAAGGUGGGGAUGACGGUCAAAUCAUCAUGCCCCUUAUGACCUGGGCUACACACGUGCUACAAUGGAUGGUACAAAGGGCUGCAAGACUGCGAAGUCAAGCCAAUCCCAUAAAACCAUUCUCAGUUCGGAUUGCAGG